RNAcentral lists this small RNA (1029 nucleotides) under Arabidopsis thaliana (thale cress). RNAcentral's name for it is "ATSL297940". Lineage: Eukaryota; Viridiplantae; Streptophyta; Magnoliopsida; Brassicales; Brassicaceae. The record is from RNAcentral.
AACUAUUCCUCCAAGUUCAACUGACAAUGCCACUCAAACUUUUGACAAGAUCAAUCAAAUUCAAGCUCAAAUUGCAUUACUUCGUCUAGAGAACAAAUAUAGAUGUAUGCAAUGUCCCACAUUGCUUUAAAAAAUAGAAAAUGGUUUAAAAUCACUAUCAAAAGAAUUGAAAUAGUUUCGAAUACGAAUGAGAAAAAGUUUGAAUUAAUAGUCGUCUAAAAUUAAAAGCAUUACCCGGUUUACUCCGAUUUUUUAUUUUAAAGAAUUGAAAGUUUUAGAAUAAUCAUAGCAGACGGGAAUAACUCGUACAAAAAAGUGAAAUAUUUUUUGGUAAGGUCAAGAGUCAAAGAGGCGUAAUUUAUUAAUGACAUAAACGUGACAGGAAGUACAAUCUACUUACUCAUGUUAUUACACAUAUUUUUAUCAAUCUAAAUAUUGCUAAGAGAAAUAAUCAAGUCAAUAACCCGAGAAAACUAUGAUAAGAGAUCUCAAAGUGUCUCCAAUUUCUGCUCGGGUUCUCCUAACAUAUAGUUACUACACUAUUGACCAUGUAUGAUACAAUUUAUUUACUUCCUUCUUAUGUGUAUGCUUUCUAAGUUAAUACUUUCUAAUUUAACUUCUUGUUCUUGUUGCAGGGAGUCUACAACCCAUUUACUAAUAAGCUUGUUGUUAUAAUCAUGGUCAUCUCGUCUUAUUGACCGACUGUGGGUGGAUCUAGUUACAAGUCUCCCUGUCUUUGAAGCAUAUGUUUGCAUCGGUUAGGGUCAUGGUCGAGAUGGCUACAUACUCAUAGCUAUGAUUGAUGUAUAUCGUUUAGAUUUAGAGCCGAUGCCGGUUUGAGUUGAAUUCCUUGGUUAAACUUGCUGAGAUGAAUUUUGUUUCUUAACAUUCGAUUUAGUAUAUGUUUUCUUAGUAUAUGUAAAAAGGUUACUAGUAUAUGUGAUAACUUUAGUCUAUGUGAUAUAAUUAUGAGGUGAUUUGACAUUUUGGACAGAGUAAGACUUGUAGAGUUUAAUUCAUCAGUUAUAU